This 468-nucleotide ribosomal RNA is filed under the name uncultured bacterium. RNAcentral describes it as "partial 16S ribosomal RNA". It matches the Rfam family "Bacterial small subunit ribosomal RNA", at positions 28 to 507 of the family's 1533-position model. The record is from RNAcentral.
GACGAACGCUGGCGGCGUGCUUAACACAUGCAAGUCGAACGGAAAGGCCCUGCUUUUGUGGGGUGCUCGAGUGGCGAACGGGUGAGUAACACGUGAGUAAACUGCCCUUGACUUUGGGAUAACUUCAGGAAACUGGGGCUAAUACCGGAUAGGAGCUCCUGCUGCAUGGUGGGGGUUGGAAAGUUUCGGCGGUUGGGGAUGGACUCGCGGCUUAUCAGCUUGUUGGUGGGGUAGUGGCUUACCAAGGCUUUGACGGGUAGCCGGCCUGAGAGGGUGACCGGCCACAUUGGGACUGAGAUACGGCCCAGACUCCUACGGGAGGCAGCAGUGGGGAAUAUUGCACAAUGGGCGGAAGCGUGAUGCAGCAACGCCGCGUGCGGGAUGACGGCCUUCGGGUUGUAAACCGCUUUCGCCUGUGACGAAGCGUGAGUGACGGUAAUGGGUAAAGAAGCACCGGCUAACUACGUG